Molecule: ribosomal RNA, 425 nt
Filed under: uncultured bacterium
Lineage: Bacteria
Description: bacterial SSU rRNA
Rfam family: Bacterial small subunit ribosomal RNA
Source: RNAcentral
GUGGGGAAUCUUAGACAAUGGGGGAAACCCUGAUCUAGCCAUGCCGCGUGAGCGAUGAAGGCCUUAGGGUUGUAAAGCUCUUUCAGCUGGGAAGAUAAUGACUGUACCAGCAGAAGAAGCCCCGGCUAACUCCGUGCCAGCAGCCGCGGUAAUACGGAGGGGGCUAGCGUUGUUCGGAAUUACUGGGCGUAAAGCGCACGUAGGCGGACCGGAAAGUCAGAGGUGAAAUCCCAGGGCUCAACCUUGGAACUGCCUUUGAAACUCAUGGUCUUGAGGUCGAGAGGGGUGAGUGGAAUUCCGAGUGUAGAGGUGAAAUUCGUAGAUAUUCGGAGGAACACCAGUGGCGAAGGCGGCUCACUGGCUCGAUACUGACGCUGAGGUGCGAAAGCGUGGGGAGCAAACAGGAUUAGAAACCCCAGUAGUCC